GGGAAAAGGGGGGCAGGUGGGGGGGGUAAUUGGUAGGGGGCGAGCGUGGUCCGGAGUUACAGGGGGGAAAGAGCGGGCAGGGGGUCGUACAAGGGGCGGUGGAAAGCGCCCGGCUCAACUGGGGAGGGUCACGCGAUACUGUUCGACUCGAAGGCAGGAGAGGGAAGUGGAAUUCCCGGUGUAGUGAUGAAAUGCGUAGAUAUCGGGAGGAACACCAGGGGCGAAGGCGACUUCCUGGCCUGUUCUUGACGCUGAGGCGCGAAAGCUAGGGUAGCAAACGGGAUUAGAUACCCAGUAGUC
Molecule: ribosomal RNA, 300 nt
Filed under: uncultured Thermocladium sp.
Lineage: Archaea; Thermoproteati; Thermoproteota; Thermoprotei; Thermoproteales; Thermoproteaceae
Description: partial 16S ribosomal RNA
Rfam family: Bacterial small subunit ribosomal RNA (bases 53-300)
Source: RNAcentral